Oncorhynchus tshawytscha (Chinook salmon) is the source of this 1336-nucleotide long non-coding RNA. Lineage: Eukaryota; Metazoa; Chordata; Actinopteri; Salmoniformes; Salmonidae. The record is from Ensembl.
UGUCUCUAGUACUAUACGUUUAGUUUAGCGUGUCUCUAGUACUAUACGUUUAGUUUAUCGUGUCUCUAGUACUAUACUUUUAGUGUAGUAUGUCUGUAGUACUAUACGUUUAGUUUAGGGUGUCUCUAGUACUAUACGUUUAGUUUAGCGUGUCUCUAGUAAUAAACAUUUAGUGAAGCGUGUCUGUAGUACUAUAUUUUAGUGUAGUGUGUCUGUAAUACUAUACGUUUAGUUUAGGGUGUCUCUAGUACUAUACUUUUAGUUUAGUGUGUCUGUAGCAAUAUACUUUUAGUUUAGUGUGUCUCUAGAACCGUACGUUUAGUUUAGGGUGUCUCUAGUACUAUACAUUUAGUUUAGGGUGUCUCUAGUACUAUACAUUUAGUUUAGUGUGUCUGUAGUACUAUACUUUUAGUUUAGUGUGUCUGUAAUACUAUACUUUUAUUUAGGGUGUCUCUAGUACUAUACUUUUAGUUUAGUGUGUCUGUAGCAAUAUACUUUUAGUUUAGUGUGUCUGUAGUACUUUUAGUUUAGCACAUCUCUAGAACCGUAUGUUUAGUUUAGUGUAUCUCUAAUACUAUGCUUUUCACACUAAGAAAUGUACAGAAUGCCCCAAAUUCAUCCACACAUUAGAUGCCUCCCAAUCCAAUGGACUUGUUUGGGUGCAAUAUUUUAUUUACAGGGUUUUAGAAGACUCACAUCCUACUACAGCACUUGAGCACUGGAGUUUGUGGCAGUUUGGAAUUGGGAGGAUGGCAGCCUCUUCAUCUUUACUGGGUCAUAGACAUUUUUGUUUGUGUUUAUGAACGGUCUCUGAGAUGAACAUUAACGUUGGACACUGAUGGAGUAAUGAGGACUACCAAGAGAAAACUGGAAGAGGUGCUCAUAUAACUGUCUUUAGUAGUCAGUGCUAAGUCAAUGCCAGCCCCCGUCUUCUCUCUUGGACAGAAAGUUAUCGUGCUUCCUGAAUCUUUCAGCGCUGUGGCAGGAAGUCCUUCGGCCGUUGAAGGGCUUCGCUGUACUUUGGCGAUUGGAUGUCCUCAAAUGACAUUCUAAAACAGUGCAAACAGACACCUGGCCAUUACUAAUUGAAGGGAAGCUUGGUUUUGGAACAGCGAUCGUGACAUCUGUGACACUACACAGGACUUGCUCUACAUCCAUUGGCACACGUAAGGGCCGGAAUUUGUCUUGCCAUGCUAUGCCCACCUAGCUCCAUGCCAGAGCAGUAUAGCUGUGGAAGGGUGCACGGUAAACCAACCAGUGGGAGCCAUGGCAAAAUGGACAAUAAAAUAUAUUUUAUUUGUAUGUUUGUUUGAGGUUGCUUUCCAUGGGUUGGUUG